GGCGCUGAGAGGGAGGUGGGGCUGAGGCUCCACACCCAGGGCUGGCUCAGUGUCCCUGUGCCCAGUCCGCACGCUGCCUAGGAGAGCCCCCACGUCUCCCAGGAUGGGCAGUGCUACGGAACGCAGAUGAGCCACUCGGAGGCCGGGCGAGGCCAGGCCAGGCCAGGCCACGGUAGGACAGACUCGGAGAGGCGGAUUCCGAGCUGCACCUCUUCUCACCAGCAGUGGCUUCCCCUGACCCGGAGCUCCGAGGCCUGUGAGAAGGCCUGGGCUUUGGCCCACAGAGGAAGCUGGAGCUGCCGGGGUUCCUUUCUCUGAAUUGGACCCAGGCUGGGGCUGAGGAUGCCCAGUGGGAGUGGGGAGAGGUUUUGAGAGAGCCCCGGGGGGAGGCAGCCGAGGGCGACAGGGGCUGGAAAGCCCUGCAGAGACCCGAAGCUGCUCCGGUGGGGCGCAACCCUCGCAGGCGACGUACCCUGGAGAAGGCCGAGGCCUGUCUGAAGAUCUCAAGCGCAGAGUCUGCAAGUUCAUCCCCUCGUUCCUGAGGUCUGGUGGCUGGAGAGGAAAGAAAAGGCAGCCUUACUUGUCAUGGCUCAUGGUGGCGUCUGGCCCAUGGGAGAGCUCCAAGAAGGGCGAAUGCACACGUGAGGAGAGAGGCGGGACUCAAGUUCAAGUGUGCUGGAGGCAAAGGGCACACACAAGGCAAGAGGCUACAGACCAGUGCCGGGAACCACGUGACCGGCGUCCACAGUGCCAGGGUGAGCUGUGCCCUGGAGCCCUGGUGGCAGGCACACUCACCGAGCUGACUUCCAGCUUGUCACCCUGGAGAGAUUUCAGCCGCACCAGGGCCCCGAUGCCUCCACUAACCAGGAUUUCAUCGCCAACGUGGUAUUUCAGGAUGUUGGCAAGUUCCUUGGCAUUUCCUGCAGGUUUGUGGGAAAAGGAGACAGAAUUAAUCCCAAGGUUGGGAAUUACAUGGUCAAGGAGGCCCAGAGGAGAAGAUGCAAGCUGUCACCCCUGAGACGGAGAACUCCCUGCCCAGGUAAUGAGCACUCAGGGAGCACCCACGGGGUGCCCAGCUCUGUGACCCACCGUCUGCCUAAUGCUCAGUGGACACAAGGCGCGUGGCCACGAAUCUGCCCCUGCAGCCGGCAGGCUGCUGGGUUAAAUACGUGCUCUCUGGGCUGCGGGGCUCCCGGCUGCCGGGAAGGAGUUAAUCCAUACUCCUCUGUGAGCAUGACUCAUGUUUCCAUGAGCUAAAUAUUUGCCUGGAAAGCCAGGGACUUUUCCAGCACCGGCAUCUGGGACGUUUCAUCAUCAGUGUGGCUCCCGGCGGUUAUAACACAGUAGUGCAAUAUUUACACAUUCUGCCCCCAAAUGCAUAUUCUGUUUGAGACAGCUAUUUCCUGAAAGGAGAACUUAAAAGAGUCAACAGCUGCACGGUGAAGGAGCCGCGGAGCCGAUGAGGUCAGGGCCGAGGGGGUGUUCCCUCCGCGGGUCCCUCCCGGGCACGGCCCGGCAUUCCUUCCAGCCCACAUCAGCAUCUCUGGCGACUGGGCCAGGCAUCUGGUUGCCCAUAAAGGUGCACAGGCAUUUCCCAGAGUAAGUGUGGGCGGCGAUUCCUAACGUUUCCAGCUGCCCUCUCAUCCCUGACACUCCUGUCACCCAGCAAAUGGCUGACUGUCCCCAGGGCUUCUGGAUGGCAGUUUCCAGCACCUUGAGACUGAGGAUGGAGGAAGUUUUAAAGCAUUUUGGGGAGUUCAGUGGUUAUGGACAAAUUCCAUGUUAGUGCCAGGGAUGGAGCCACCGGGUACCAAGUGAUUUCCAAACAUCCAUAACCCGGAGCUGGCAAAGUUCCCCUUCCACAAAAAUACUGCCCGGAGGUGCAGAGCUAAGCUAGCCCCCAGGGCUCAAGGGGCCACCUUCUUUCUAGAUCUCUAGCUCCUGGACCCCCCUCCCUCCCCGACGGGAGCCUGCAGGCCUGCGGGAAGGAUGUUUGGGAAGCUUUCCUCAUGCCCUUCCUCUGCUCCCGCACAAUUAGAAACGAACAGGAAGCUGAGCAGGCUCAGGCCACCCGGGGGAUAUUCCAUUCUAGCUGGACAGAGAGAGGAUGGAAAGUUUAUGUUCAGCAGGAACUUCUCCCUCAGGAACGUACGUCCGCAUCGCACACACAGGCAUUCAUUCAGCAAUAAAGAAAAUUAAACAGGACAAGCAUUCACCUCGGAGCUGCCUGCCAUCGGCAACACGGGCCCUGAGGUUUGUUCAAGGUCCUUCCUCCUCCUGCUCAGACUAACCUUGGGGGGACAGUGGCAGUGUCCCUCGCAGGCAGGCAUCAGAGCCAAGCACUGCAGCUCCUGCCCGCGUCCCCGUCAUCAGAGCUGCUGCUGAUGGAGCACGGGUGCCUGGCACCGCCGCACCCUGGACCUCACGACACAGCGAGCGAGGAACUCUGACCGUCCACCUAUUUCUUAACCACUGGGUUGCCUCCCAAACAGCCUCAACGAGAUUCUCAGGGAAAGCUUUUAUCCCCAGGGACAUUUACUGCAGGUGACUGGCUUCGUUAUCACUGUCCUCCCAGGUCUCUGGUGGAAAACGCGCCUCAGUGAACAGGCUGGUCGUUCCCAGCCUCAGCUCCUUUCUUCUCUGCCUGGCCGGGGGCCCAGGAGGCUGUCCUCUGUGAACUACGCCAUCCAGCUGGCCUCGCCCCCUGUAAUCGGCUAACAGGGGCCCCGUGGGCAACUGUCGUGUGGGAGGACAGGGAGGCUGGGACACUCAGUGUCCCCUUGACAUGGUUCCGACAGUGGCUGCGUAUGGCUCCGGCCUCUGUCCUGCACCCUCUGUCCAAGGCUCAGCCCUCCCCAUUCCUGCCUGCACCCUCUCAGCCCCUAGGGGUGGUAAAGGCUCCCCCGGCUGCUACUGCCUGUGUGUCACCACCGUUUGCUGGUUCCCUUAAUCCUGCCCACACUUGUACAAACAGCCUCGUCAUUAAAUCCCUCUGAGUCAACCCCUUUGUGACGUGCCAGCUGUUUCCUGCUGGAACCCCGAUGGAAUGUGGCUUCGGAAAAGCAGGACUAUGUGCGUAAGUCGAUCUUUACCCAAGAGUUUGUUCAGUUCUCCCGGCGGCAAGGCUUGGAAGGCUUCAUUUGUGGGAGCAAAGACCGUGUAGACCCCUUCUCGGUUGAGGGUCUCCGUCAGCCCUGCAGACUGGAUGGCGGCCACCAGCAUGCUGCGGACGCACACACAGAGCACGUCACCUGCCUGCAGGGCACGGGGGCAUUUCCCUCCAGUCCCUCCCCACUGGGGGGCAGAGCCCAGACCACCGCAGUGCACACCGCUCGGCUUGCACACGCUCCCUGUGCACACGGGGGACAAUUCCAGUCCCCACCAGGCGCCAACGCUAAGACCAGCCAGGAGGCCGGGAGUCCGAGGCUGGAGGGGAGGGAAGGAGAGGAAAGCGCAGAGGCAUGGCCGACCCAGAGACUGGCCGCGCCGCUGGGCCUGGGCAUGUGGCUCCCGGGGUGGGGGCGGGGGGCAGCAGGCUCGGGGUCUCCAGCCCAGGAAGGUGGCUGAAGCCAGUGACAGGGAAGCGCCCAGGGGUGAACGAGCAUGUCAGAGACGGAGGGGGCGGGGAAGCAGGUGCGCUGACUGAGGGCUCCAGCUGCCGUGAGUAGACACUGCCAGAGAGCAAGACACUGGUCCCAUCCUCCAAGCCAGGCACUCUCGGCUCACUUGGGACUUUACCAGAGAGGGAGGUUUUCCUCGCGCUUCAGUGAUAGAAACGUAGCCCCUGCCCUGCUUCCCGUGCACGUGAGGGUCACACCCCAGCAGUAACUUUCUUCCCAGCUCAGGCUUUCGAGGUGACCCUCACCCUUUGCCCCUGCCUGGAAGGUCGCCCCAGUGUGCGACAGUGUUAACUGAACCCCAGAGAUGGGGGGAGAUUGACACACAGCCAGGCACCCCGCCCUGCCCCGCAUGACUGCCUGGCAGAAGACCUGCCCUGGGGUGGGACUCUUUACCUAAAGCGACUGUCCCCCUUCAGGACAUCCAUGACGGUCCCCAUGGGGGGAGUC
This is a long non-coding RNA of Lemur catta (Ring-tailed lemur), 4067 nucleotides long. RefSeq lists it as uncharacterized. The transcript has 3 exons. Lineage: Eukaryota; Metazoa; Chordata; Mammalia; Primates; Lemuridae. The record is from RefSeq and is a predicted model, not a curated record.